AGCGGGGGAAGGUAGCUUGCUACCGGACCUAGCGGCGGACGGGUGAGUAAUGCUUAGGAAUCUGCCUAUUAGUGGGGGACAACAUCUCGAAAGGGAUGCUAAUACCGCAUACGUCCUACGGGAGAAAGCAGGGGAUCUCCGGACCUUGCGCUAAUAGAUGAGCCUAAGUCGGAUUAGCUAGUUGGUGGGGUAAAGGCCUACCAAGGCGACGAUCUGUAGCGGGUCUG
RNAcentral lists this ribosomal RNA (227 nucleotides) under Acinetobacter baumannii OIFC137. RNAcentral's name for it is "partial 16S ribosomal RNA". It matches the Rfam family "Bacterial small subunit ribosomal RNA", at positions 65 to 294 of the family's 1533-position model. Lineage: Bacteria; Pseudomonadati; Pseudomonadota; Gammaproteobacteria; Moraxellales; Moraxellaceae. The record is from RNAcentral.